CAGACUGAUACCAAGCACAGGGCCAGGACAGAGCAGGGACACAAUAAAUAUCUACUGACUCUGACUUUAGUGUAGCGAUUCAUAUAGUCAAGGUAUGUGCCAAGUGCGUUGGGAGCAAGGAGGUGGGACUGUCUAGGUCUGCUUGAGGGGAUGGAAGGGUCACAGAGCCAAGGAAGACCUGGGACUUGAAGGGUGGCCGGACCAGCGAGAACUAGCUGGUGCCCUGGAAGGCACGUGGACUUUGGAGUGGAGGCCCGAGGCUUGAACGCUGGCUCUGCCCCUCCCUCUGCCCUGGGACACUUCUGAAUCUCCUCUUCCUCUUCCUCUGCCUUGAUUCACAAGAAGAGAUAUAAUCACCAGCUUGAGAGGCCAUGAGGAUGAGCCGAAUAAGAUUGAUGAACCUGUCAGGCUGCUGGCCUGGGCGCUGAGCCCGCUCCCGCCUGAAUUCUCCCGACAGCUGCCCUGCUUCUCCACUUGGACUUGCCGGGGCUCCCGUUGGAACCAAGAAAAGCCUCUGCUCUGCUCCAGUCACACACAAAAAAAUAGCAAGAAUGAUGCAAUAUGUGUCUCUCAUGGCCACCAGCCACGGAGAAGGUCCAGGCAUCCAGAUCCCUACCCCAAACUCACGCCAGCAUUGCAAAUCAAUGCCCUCUUGUUCCCAUGAAUCCUGGGUAACUCCCACCACUCUACCCGGCAGCAGCUCUGUCACCCCCUUAUCUCGUGACAAAGGCCACCAACCUAGCCACUGAGGCACAAAAUUGGCCGGGUGCAGAGAAAGAGUUUCUAAGUACCUAAUCCCUGUAACCUGACCUUUAAUUCUAAUAACAGUGACAUUUAUUAAAGAUUAUGUGCCUGGCACUGUUCUGA
Long non-coding RNA from Lynx canadensis (Canada lynx), 867 nucleotides. RefSeq lists it as uncharacterized. The record is from RefSeq and is a predicted model, not a curated record. Lineage: Eukaryota; Metazoa; Chordata; Mammalia; Carnivora; Felidae. The transcript is spliced from 3 exons.